Molecule: ribosomal RNA, 564 nt
Filed under: Streptomyces sp. 334C12
Lineage: Bacteria; Bacillati; Actinomycetota; Actinomycetes; Kitasatosporales; Streptomycetaceae
Description: bacterial SSU rRNA
Rfam family: Bacterial small subunit ribosomal RNA
Source: RNAcentral
UAGUGGCGAACGGGUGAGUAACACGUGGGCAAUCUGCCCUUCACUCUGGGACAAGCCCUGGAAACGGGGUCUAAUACCGGAUAACACUCCUGCUCUCAUGGGCGGGGGUUAAAAGCUCCGGCGGUGAAGGAUGAGCCCGCGGCCUAUCAGCUUGUUGGUGAGGUAAUGGCUCACCAAGGCGACGACGGGUAGCCGGCCUGAGAGGGCGACCGGCCACACUGGGACUGAGACACGGCCCAGACUCCUACGGGAGGCAGCAGUGGGGAAUAUUGCACAAUGGGCGAAAGCCUGAUGCAGCGACGCCGCGUGAGGGAUGACGGCCUUCGGGUUGUAAACCUCUUUCAGCAGGGAAGAAGCGAAAGUGACGGUACCUGCAGAAGAAGCGCCGGCUAACUACGUGCCAGCAGCCGCGGUAAUACGUAGGGCGCAAGCGUUGUCCGGAAUUAUUGGGCGUAAAGAGCUCGUAGGCGGCUUGUCACGUCGAUUGUGAAAGCCCGGGGCUUAACNCCGGGUCUGCAGUCGAUACGGGCUAGCUAGAGUGUGGUAGGGGAGAUCGGAAUUCCU